GACGGACAACCCCAGGCUGACUAACAUGAUGAGGUAUCACCUCCAGAGAAGUCCCCUCCGGUUGGAGGGGCUCCGCCUCGCUACUAGCUUUCCGGUGCCUUGCAGGAAAUGCCGAACCCCACCCUUCCAUGGAUCCCGUCGUGAUCUACAACAAACAUUGAAACAUAAUACGCACCCCUUACUGCGCCGCGUCUGUUUCCCGGAUAAACUACUUGGAGCUGAUUGAAUUGUGCUAUCCGUCCUUUGAGGUCCCCUCCGAACGCCAAGAGAGCCUAGCCACGAAAACCCGUUCGAUGGUACCGAACUAGUAUUAUAUGGCCUGUAUCUCUCUCCCAACAUCCGGCUGGAACAAACCCCCCAGAACUUCCUGCGAAGUUGACCCCUCC
Molecule: long non-coding RNA, 386 nt
Filed under: Physcomitrium patens
Lineage: Eukaryota; Viridiplantae; Streptophyta; Bryopsida; Funariales; Funariaceae
Description: long non-coding RNA (PPAT_LNC011508)
Source: RNAcentral